CUUCUCUUUCUUGUUACCUCUAGUGAAAAUGUAAGCUUACUCAUAUGAAAACACACCAAUAUAAAAGUGCUUUCUUUGUUGGUCUUUUUGGCGAGUUUUGGCUCUUUAGAGAUGAAGUCUUUUGACGGCAAACUUUUUUGCUUGGAAUUGCUGGAAAUUGAGAAUUGAAAGAAGCUUCAACUCAUCGAUUUUGAAUUUUACUUAAUUUCAGCCAUGAUUUCAUCAACCAUUCGAUUCGACUAAUCAUACAACUCUAUCAGCGCCAAUACCGAUCUUCCCAUCACAAUCUUACGACAGAGAUGCCUCCUCAUCCACCGGGACCUCACAGGAUUGAAGAUCCAAUGUAUCUUGAAAGAUAUGGAAUCAUGCGAUCAGGGUGAAGUAAUAUCCAUCAAACGUCAAAUUUCCAAUCUUUAGAUCACUUUGAGACACUCACCUGAACAUGUAAAAUCAAACUAUUACGAUAAUACAAUGUGUCUUCCUAUCAAAUGAGUUCUCGAUACUUUGAACUUUUAGCAACACAACAGGAAAGAGUUCUUGACGACGAAAAGCCAAUCAAUCUUCUCAACAUCAGUAUCAUCACCUCAUCAAUCUAACAAAAUUAUUCAAUCAAAAAAGCACCGAUUUUUGAACCGACGCUAUUCAAUUGUCCAGCAGUUCCUGCACCGAACAAAGAUUACAAAUGUUACAAGCCUACUGAACCUGAAACUAAGGUGGUCUCAAAUAUUAGAUCUAAGCAGCGAGCUAGGGACCAACAUCUAGAGCAUCGGUUGAAACAAGUGAAGAUUGAUCCGAUGAAGAGGAAUCUGAAUUGAAUAAAGCGAGAAAUCGAUUGAAAUAUAUGAUAACCUCAGGACCGCCAUUGAAACUGGAACAAAACCAGAGAAAAUUUAUUUUCUCGGUCUUUCUCGUUCUACAUCUUAAUCUACCUCUCAUCGAUUUUGAAUGUUACUAAAUUUCAGUCAUGUUUUCAGUAAACAUAAUUCAAAACUUCAGAACGAUACUUAGAGUGUUCAGAAUUAGCCAUCUAUUAAUUGUUUUUCAUAAUUGAUAGUUCGUUGAAUGCAUCUAAAUUCAGGAAAACAACUAUAAACUACUCUAAUUAUUUUGAAGACUUUGCUCGUAACAGAUCAAAAAAUUCCUCAAAUUUUGCUCAAGGUAAACCAGUUGAUUAUACAGAAAAUUAACUUUCUUACAUCAGUGAAUUUUUAUAUCAAUGUUUCAGUCCGUCAAAAAUGUGUGGUUUGGUAUUAAGAAGAAAAGCUGAACCAAAGACUGCUUCAAUGCUUAUUUUUAUGAAUCUUAUUCAACAAUUUUUCUCGUAAAUUCAACAAUUAUUCAAUAAUCUGGUUAAUUAAUAAGCUGUUACCAAUGAUCAUGAGUCAAGAUAGAAAAAAAAACAGCAAAGGCGGAUGAGUCAAAGACAAAAAAGCGAAUCGACUUUGAGGAUAAUGAAUUUCGUAGUUUUGAUUAGCCAUCAGCCAACACCGAGCCAUUGUUUUAUCUUUAUUCAUCUGUUGUAUUCUGACAAUCAUUUUCUAUUUCGAAUACAACCUGAAAUUAAAUCAUUAAACCAUUAAA
This is a non-coding RNA of Tetranychus urticae (two-spotted spider mite), 1581 nucleotides long. The record is from RefSeq and is a predicted model, not a curated record. Lineage: Eukaryota; Metazoa; Arthropoda; Arachnida; Trombidiformes; Tetranychidae.